AAGCACAGGCUGUGGCGCUUUGGCCAUAAAAUUGGGACGAUAAAGAGAAGAUUAGCAUGACCCCUGCGCAAGUUUGACACGUACAAAUCGAGAGAUGGUUCAAAUUUUU
This 109-nucleotide small nuclear RNA is filed under the name Oryza meridionalis. The record is from RNAcentral. Lineage: Eukaryota; Viridiplantae; Streptophyta; Magnoliopsida; Poales; Poaceae.